UCACCUUAUUUCUCCAGAGGAUGAAGAGGGCUCUCAGGUGGAGUAUGCUCAAAGUAGUAAACUCAGGCAAUUGGAUACAGACCAUAUGAGUACKGGCGUCGAAUACAUUUCUGGGGUUGGGAGAGCAGCAGAAGAUGCCAUAGAAAAUAAAGAUGACACAGCAGCAGCAACAGCAGCAACAAGCAUUCAGAACCCACCAGAUCCUGGACAAAAGGAYUCAGAAUAAGGUGCAGAUGAUACUCAGCAAAGGAUUCAAAAAAGAGCAGGUUUAACUGGAGAUAAGGUUAGCAAAUCACUCAGAAUUACACCAUAAUUUCACUCUCAAAAAAGAGCAAAAUCAGAGUGCAUUUUUUUUAAAAGAUAUAAUUGACUGUUUAUAAUUUGUAACACCGGCGAGUUUUCUUCAGUAAUUAAAUAGUAAUUGAGCCUGCUCUGAAAAGAUUUUAAUGGAUUGCAUGAGAUGUCCAAAAGGGAGUAAUCGGAAGGCUUGUAGAUACUGAUGUAAGAAGAUAUUUCUAUGGAAACCACAUCCUGCAUUAUGGAAGAGAGAUGCUGCAACAUGAGUUGGUAUCAGAAUGACAGCUGUAACCUUCCUUUCAAAGAGAACAAUUGAUCUUGAAUUGCUUUCAUUUGAGCAUUUCUAGUAGAAAAAUCUGCCUUGAACCCUGUAGUGGAUAGAAGGGCGUACUAACUCUGUAGUCUACAUUAAUGCACAAAAAGUUUGGUAUAGAGAGAAAAAGUAAACUGUGGAGUAAACAGUAAACUGCCUUUAAGUUCAGACACUGUGAUCAUACUACAUGUAUAAUUUUAUGUAUAAUAUGCACAGAACUUUGCAUAGAUUACGGAUUGCAUGUUUUAUUAAGUGUAGACUGC
Molecule: long non-coding RNA, 873 nt
Organism: Nothoprocta perdicaria
Lineage: Eukaryota; Metazoa; Chordata; Aves; Tinamiformes; Tinamidae
Exons: 3
Source: RefSeq, a predicted model, not a curated record